UUUUUCCGCAAUGGGCGAAAGCCUGACGGAGCAAUACCGCGUGAGGGAGGAAGGCUCUUGGGUUGUAAACCUCUUUUCUCAGGGAAGAAAAAAAUGACGGUACCUGAGGAAUAAGCAUCGGCUAACUCCGUGCCAGCAGCCGCGGUAAUACGGAGGAUGCAAGCGUUAUCCGGAAUGAUUGGGCGUAAAGGGUCCGCAGGUGGCAUUGUAAGUCUGCUGUUAAAGAGUUUGGCUCAACCAAAUAAAAGCAGUGGAAACUACAAAGCUAGAGUUUGGUCGGGGCAGAGGGAAUUCCUGGUGUAGCGGUGAAAUGCGUAGAUAUCAGGAAGAAC
RNAcentral lists this ribosomal RNA (332 nucleotides) under uncultured cyanobacterium. RNAcentral describes it as "bacterial SSU rRNA". It matches the Rfam family "Bacterial small subunit ribosomal RNA", at positions 361 to 707 of the family's 1533-position model. The record is from RNAcentral. Lineage: Bacteria; Bacillati; Cyanobacteriota.